UACGAAGGGGGCGAGCGUUGUUCGGAUUUACUGGGCGUAAAGGGCGCGCAGGCGGCUCAUUUUGUCAGGCGUGAAAGCCCCGGGCUUAACCUGGGAACUGCGUUUGAUACGGAUGGGCUAGAGUUCGGGAGAGGAGAGUGGAAUUCCCAGUGUAGAGGUGAAAUUCGUAGAUAUCUGGAGGAAUACCGGUGGCGAAGGCGGCAUCCUGGACCAUUACUGACGCUUAAGCGCGAAAGCUAGGGGAGCAAACGGG
This 253-nucleotide ribosomal RNA is filed under the name uncultured bacterium. Its description in RNAcentral is "partial 16S ribosomal RNA". It matches the Rfam family "Bacterial small subunit ribosomal RNA", at positions 524 to 776 of the family's 1533-position model. The record is from RNAcentral.